GCUUGCGGCCACACUGGCCUGAGUACGCCUGAUCUCGUCCGAUCUCGGAAGCUAAGCAGGGUCGGGCCUGGUUAGUACUUGGAUGGGAGACCCCCUGGGAAUACCAGGUGCUGUAAGCU
Molecule: ribosomal RNA, 119 nt
Organism: Oncorhynchus mykiss (rainbow trout)
Lineage: Eukaryota; Metazoa; Chordata; Actinopteri; Salmoniformes; Salmonidae
Source: Ensembl